Molecule: ribosomal RNA, 254 nt
Filed under: uncultured bacterium
Lineage: Bacteria
Description: partial 16S ribosomal RNA
Rfam family: Bacterial small subunit ribosomal RNA
Source: RNAcentral
UACGAAGGGGGCUAGCGUUGUUCGGAAUUACUGGGCGUAAAGCGCACGUAGGCGGAUUGUUAAGUUAGGGGUGAAAUCCCAGGGCUCAACCCUGGAACUGCCUUUAAUACUGGCAAUCUCGAGUCCGAGAGAGGUGAGUGGAAUUCCGAGUGUAGAGGUGAAAUUCGUAGAUAUUCGGAGGAACACCAGUGGCGAAGGCGGCUCACUGGCUCGGUACUGACGCUGAGGUGCGAAAGCGUGGGGAUCAAACAGGG